RNAcentral lists this ribosomal RNA (261 nucleotides) under uncultured archaeon. RNAcentral describes it as "partial 16S ribosomal RNA". It matches the Rfam family "Archaeal small subunit ribosomal RNA", at positions 748 to 1009 of the family's 1478-position model. The record is from RNAcentral.
UAGGCGUAAAUGAUGCGAGUUAAGUGUGGGGGCAUCUACGAGAUGGCCCUGUGCUGUAGGGUAGCCGUUAAACUCGCUGCCUGGGGAGUACGGUCGCAAGGCUGAAACUUAAAGGAUUGGCGGGGGGAGCACCACAACGGGUGGAGCUUGCGGUUUAAUUGGAUUCAACGCCGGAAAUCUUACCGGGACCGACAGCAACAUGAAGGCCAAGCUGAAGACUUUGCUUGACAAGCUGAGAGGAGGUGCAUGGCGUAGUCGUGU